AACCAGCUCUUCAAGUGGUCGGGAAUAUUAUUGGGCUUAAAGUGUCCGUAGCCGGUUUGAUAAGUUCCUGGUUAAAUCUGGCAGCUUAACUGUCAGUUGGCUAGGAAUACUAUCUUACUAGAGGGUGGGAAAGGUCUGAGGUACUCCAGGGGUAGCGGUGAAAUGCUAUAAUCCUUGGGGGACCACCAGUGGCGAAGGCGUCAGACUGGAACACGCCUGACGGUGAGGGACGAAAGCCAGGGGGAGCGAACGGGAUUAGAUACCCCGGUAGUCCUGGCUGUAAACGAUGCGUGCUAGGUGUUGGUAGGGCUAUGAGCCGUAUCAGUGCCGUAGGGAAACUGUUAAGCGCGCCGCCUGGGAAGUACGCUCGCAAGGGUGAAACUUAAAGGAAUUGGGCGGGGGAGCACCACGAAGGGGUGAAGCCUGCGGUUC
This 432-nucleotide ribosomal RNA is filed under the name uncultured archaeon. Its description in RNAcentral is "bacterial SSU rRNA". It matches the Rfam family "Archaeal small subunit ribosomal RNA", at positions 474 to 903 of the family's 1478-position model. The record is from RNAcentral.